UACGUAGGGUGCAGGCGUUAUUCGGAAUUACUGGGCGUAAAGCGUGCGCAGGCGGUUUGCCAAGACAGGUGUGAAAUCCCCGGGCUUAACCUGGGAACUGCGGUUGUUACUGGCAAGCUGGAGUGUGGCAGAGGGGGGUGGAAUUCCACGUGUAGCAGUGAAAUGCGUAGAGAUGUGGAGGAACACCGAUGGCGAAGGCAGCCCCCUGGGCUAACACUGACGCUCAUGCACGAAAGCGUGGGGAGCAAACAGG
Molecule: ribosomal RNA, 253 nt
Filed under: uncultured bacterium
Lineage: Bacteria
Description: partial 16S ribosomal RNA
Rfam family: Bacterial small subunit ribosomal RNA
Source: RNAcentral